RNAcentral lists this transfer RNA (72 nucleotides) under Camelus ferus (Wild Bactrian camel). It matches the Rfam family "tRNA". From Rfam's summary of the family: Transfer RNA (tRNA) molecules are approximately 80 nucleotides in length. Their secondary structure includes four short double-helical elements and three loops (D, anti-codon, and T loops). Further hydrogen bonds mediate the characteristic L-shaped molecular structure. tRNAs have two regions of fundamental functional importance: the anti-codon, which is responsible for specific mRNA codon recognition, and the 3' end, to which the tRNAs corresponding amino acid is attached (by aminoacyl-tRNA synthetases). tRNAs cope with the degeneracy of the genetic code in two manners: having more than one tRNA (with a specific anti-codon) for a particular amino acid; and 'wobble' base-pairing, i.e. permitting non-standard base-pairing at the 3rd anti-codon position. The record is from Rfam by way of RNAcentral. Lineage: Eukaryota; Metazoa; Chordata; Mammalia; Artiodactyla; Camelidae.
GAGCGUAUAGCUCAGUGGUAGAGUGUGUGCUUAGCAUGCAUGAGGUCCUGGGUCCAAUCCCCAGUACCUCCA